AGUUAAUGAACUUGWAUAAGUAUAUGUUUUGAAAACAUAAAAAAGAGUUAAAYCCUCUAUUAACUU
RNAcentral lists this transfer RNA (66 nucleotides) under Hygrotus impressopunctatus. RNAcentral describes it as "tRNA-Ser". The record is from RNAcentral. Lineage: Eukaryota; Metazoa; Arthropoda; Insecta; Coleoptera; Dytiscidae.